Molecule: ribosomal RNA, 301 nt
Filed under: uncultured bacterium
Lineage: Bacteria
Description: partial 16S ribosomal RNA
Rfam family: Bacterial small subunit ribosomal RNA
Source: RNAcentral
CAGCCGCCGCGGGAAUACGAAGGGUGCAAGCGUUAAUCGGAAUCACUGGGCGUAAAGCGUGCGUAGGCGGUUUGUUAAGUCUGUUGUGAAAUCCCCGGGCUCAACCUGGGAAUGGCAAUGGAUACUGGCAAGCUAGAGUGUGUCAGAGGAUGGUGGAAUUCCCGGUGUAGCGGUGAAAUGCGUAGAGAUCGGGAGGAACAUCAGUGGCGAAGGCGGCCAUCUGGGACAACACUGACGCUGAGGCACGAAAGCGUGGGGAGCAAACAGGAUUAGAUACCCGCGUAGUCCCUGUCUCUUAUAC